Molecule: long non-coding RNA, 359 nt
Organism: Ahaetulla prasina
Lineage: Eukaryota; Metazoa; Chordata; Lepidosauria; Squamata; Colubridae
Exons: 3
Source: RefSeq, a predicted model, not a curated record
UUCAGGUACAGUAUGGAAGUGCUGGAUGAUUGGAGAAGAUGCCCAUUAUUCUCGUUUCCCUCGUAAAAUAUUGAGGCCAGCAGCAAGGAGAACAGGACAAUGCAGUGACCUUCCAUUUUUCUUCCCGGAGAAGGCCAUCUGGCGGAGUGGACGACACAGCAAACCACAGCAAUGUCUUCAGAGAUUUCCUUGGAAUUUGCUACAGGCAUGUUGAGAAAGCCAAGGGCUUGCUGUGAAGAUUUGAGGCGGGGGGGGGGGGACUCCAGCAAACAUUUCUGAAAUUUCUUAAAAACAUGUCUGAUAAUAGUUAUAUCUUCCUGCAGUUGUAUGGAAUUAAAAGGAUUGUCUUUUUUCCAGUA